Molecule: non-coding RNA, 112 nt
Organism: Acanthosepion pharaonis
Lineage: Eukaryota; Metazoa; Mollusca; Cephalopoda; Sepiida; Sepiidae
Source: the annotation of a GenBank genome assembly
UACGGCCACGUCAAGUUGAAACAGCACUUCCCGCACGAUCACCGAAGUGAAGCAACGUCAAGCUUGGUCAGUACCUAGAUGAGUGACCGCUUGGGAGUACUAGGUGUUGUAA